Xenia sp. Carnegie-2017 is the source of this 1326-nucleotide long non-coding RNA. RefSeq lists it as uncharacterized. Lineage: Eukaryota; Metazoa; Cnidaria; Anthozoa; Malacalcyonacea; Xeniidae. The record is from RefSeq and is a predicted model, not a curated record. The transcript has 4 exons.
UUUGUGAUUAGUAAAUUACAUGUGCGAAUGGUAAUCACUGCAUGUCUAACCCCACGUCAUUAAGUCCAAGAAAUGUAUGUCUGUGUAUGAUUGACACAUAAAGAACUCUCAUAGAAACCUCGUGCGUAUCGUGCCAUCAUCAAUGCGUGAACGACAAUAUGCUGUGCUGCUUUCUUUUCAUACGAUCGUGCAAACCAUAAUCAUAAAUUCGGCAAACGUGUUGUCAAAUGGAAUUUUGAGACUGGUAUGAAAUUUAGAAAUUUGGAACAUUCAUGGAACGAACAAGUGAUUAAAACCGACGGUUCAAUUUUAUAUACAAAGAAGCUUAGUGCAAAUAUUUUGUAUGCAUAAUCACGUUUGUUUACGGGAAACGUCCGAAUUUUUCUGUCGCGAAAACUUUAAAGUUUACUAUUGAAAUUUAUCCAUGAAAUUUUUCAACUCAGAAAAAUGAAACAUGCAAACUGAUAACAUUUAAAAAUCUCGUAAUGAGAAUAUGAAAAAUUUAGCCUCAAUGAAUUUGUUACAAUGAAUUCAAGUUUGAAAACAUAAAAUUUACUAUAGAGAAGUCAACGCUAAUUUGAUGAUAAAUGGAUUCUAUAGUUACAGAGAUAUAAGAACACUAUCUUUCUGCUGUGCCGUUGAAUAAUGAUCAUACGUCGAUAAGUAUGAUAACAUGAGACUUGUCCACAAUAAUGUCUAAAUAAAGUAAAGCACUUAUGCGUCGUUAUAUCUAUUCACGGUCAAAUCGAGUAACUCGAAUUCUAUGUCUAGUUACUGCAUGAGUAUUGUCGGAAAUACAACCAUGCAUUUUUUAACAAAGAACACAGCAUGUCAUCCACAGUGCGAGCCAUAAGUGAUCACUGACGAAUGUUUACAGAAAUAUGAACUUCCUUAUUCGAAAUAAUUUCUUCUCUAGGUAAUCUAUUCAGACCAUUUAAGCGACGAUUCACAUGUUCGAUAAUCUUUAGCGUCUGGAGAUACUUUCCUUUUACUAAAGAUUUAGGCAAGGACCCAAAAGCUACUUUCAGGCCUUUUACGCGUUUGUGGAAACUUUGUCAUGGGAAGUUUUCAUUUACGAGAACGAAGCAACAUGUGAUACGAUAUGUGUUAACGAUUAUGUAUUUGGCAUAUUUGAUAAGAAACUGCUUCAGCCUCUUAUGGUUAUUUUAUGAUUCGUUUACUGAACGGUUAAGUUGCUGCAGGUUGCAUCGACAUUUGGUUUAUUGAAACACCGUCAACGAUGCAUGGUUUUUUUGGUUUUCUUCACACGUGUAUGGCGAUCAGUUGGUUAUUGACAUUGUUUGGAAACGCGGAAGACAACAACAA